UUUAAAAUCGUUGUUGCUGGG
This 21-nucleotide non-coding RNA is filed under the name Caenorhabditis elegans. The record is from RNAcentral. Lineage: Eukaryota; Metazoa; Nematoda; Chromadorea; Rhabditida; Rhabditidae.